Molecule: ribosomal RNA, 425 nt
Filed under: uncultured prokaryote
Description: bacterial SSU rRNA
Rfam family: Bacterial small subunit ribosomal RNA
Source: RNAcentral
UAGGGAAUAUUGCGCAAUGGGGGAAACCCUGACGCAGCAACGCCGCGUGUGGGAUGACGGCUUUCGGGUUGUAAACCACUUUCAGUGACGACGAAAAUGACGGUAGUCACAGAAGAAGUUCCGGCCAACUACGUGCCAGCAGCCGCGGUAACACGUAGGGGACAAGCGUUGUCCGGAUUUAUUGGGCGUAAAGAGCUCGUAGGCGGUUUCGUAAGUCGGAUGUGAAAACUCAGGGCUCAACCCUGAGACGCCAUCCGAUACUGCGAUGACUAGAGUCCGGUAGGGGAGCAUGGAAUUCCUGGUGUAGCGGUGGAAUGCGCAGAUAUCAGGAGGAACACCAGUGGCGAAGGCGGUGCUCUGGGCCGGUACUGACGCUGAGGAGCGAAAGCGUGGGGAGCAAACAGGAUUAGAUACCCCCGUAGUCC